GCUGGGUGCAGUGGUGCACGCCUGUAAUCCCAGUGGCUCAGGAGGCUGAGGCAGGAGGAUUGCAAGUUCAAAGCCAGCCUCAGCAUCUU
RNAcentral lists this small RNA (89 nucleotides) under Marmota monax (woodchuck). Lineage: Eukaryota; Metazoa; Chordata; Mammalia; Rodentia; Sciuridae. The record is from RNAcentral.